RNAcentral lists this ribosomal RNA (706 nucleotides) under uncultured Lachnospiraceae bacterium. RNAcentral describes it as "bacterial SSU rRNA". It matches the Rfam family "Bacterial small subunit ribosomal RNA", at positions 48 to 757 of the family's 1533-position model. The record is from RNAcentral. Lineage: Bacteria; Bacillati; Bacillota; Clostridia; Lachnospirales; Lachnospiraceae.
CUAACACAUGCAGUCGAACGAAGCACCUUUUAAGAUUCUUCGGAUGAUUGAUUGGUGACUGAGUGGCGGACGGGUGAGUAACGCGUGGGUAACCUGCCCUGUACAGGGGGAUAACAGUUGGAAACGGCUGCUAAUACCGCAUAAGCGCACGAGAGGACAUCCUUUCGUGUGAAAAACUCCGGUGGUACAGGAUGGGCCCGCGUCUGAUUAGCUGGUUGGCAGGGUAACGGCCUACCAAGGCGACGAUCAGUAGCCGGUCUGAGAGGAUGAACGGCCACAUUGGAACUGAGACACGGUCCAAACUCCUACGGGAGGCAGCAGUGGGGAAUAUUGCACAAUGGGGGAAACCCUGAUGCAGCAACGCCGCGUGAGUGAAGAAGUAUUUCGGUAUGUAAAGCUCUAUCAGCAGGGAAGAUAAUGACGGUACCUGACUAAGAAGCUCCGGCUAAAUACGUGCCAGCAGCCGCGGUAAUACGUAUGGAGCAAGCGUUAUCCGGAUUUACUGGGUGUAAAGGGUGCGUAGGUGGCAGUGCAAGUCAGAUGUGAAAGGCCGGGGCUCAACCCCGGAGCUGCAUUUGAAACUGCAUAGCUAGAGUACAGGAGAGGCAGGCGGAAUUCCUAGUGUAGCGGUGAAAUGCGUAGAUAUUAGGAGGAACACCAGUGGCGAAGGCGGCCUGCUGGACUGUUACUGACACUGAGGCACGAA